This 73-nucleotide transfer RNA is filed under the name Sphingomonas abaci. RNAcentral's name for it is "tRNA-Ser". The record is from RNAcentral. Lineage: Bacteria; Pseudomonadati; Pseudomonadota; Alphaproteobacteria; Sphingomonadales; Sphingomonadaceae.
GCCGCAGAAAACUAGGCUGGGCGUUUCGUUCGUAAUGCGGGGGUCACAGGUUCGAGUCCUGUAAGCGGCACCA